This 403-nucleotide unclassified non-coding RNA is filed under the name soil metagenome. RNAcentral's name for it is "partial contains 5.8S ribosomal RNA, internal transcribed spacer 2, and large subunit ribosomal RNA". The stretch from base 1 to 121 matches the Rfam family "5.8S ribosomal RNA", at positions 35 to 154 of the family's 154-position model. The record is from RNAcentral.
GAUGAAGAACGCAGCGAAAUGCGAUAAGUAAUGUGAAUUGCAGAAUUCAGUGAAUCAUCGAAUCUUUGAACGCACCUUGCGCCCUUUGGCUAUUCCGAAGGGCAUGCCUGUUUGAGUAUCAUGAACACCUCAACUCUCAUGGCUUGCCGUGAUGAGCUUGGACUUUGGGGGUCUUGCUGGCCUGUGGUUGGCUCCUCUCAAAUGAAUCAGCUUACCGGUGUUUGGUGGCAUCACAGGUGUGAUAACUAUCUACGCUUGUGGUUUUCCACCAGGUUAACCUUCAGCGAUGGAGGUUCGCUGGAGCUCAUAAAUGUCUCUUCUUGGUGAGGACAGCUCUUUGAACGUUUGAUCUCAAAUCAGGUAGGACUACCCGCUGAACUUAAGCAUAUCAAUAAGCGGAGGA